CCUACGGGUGGCUGCAGUCGAGAAUCUUCGGCAAUGGGCGCAAGCCCGACCGAGCGACGCCGCGUGGAGGACGAAGGCCCUCGGGUUGUAAACUCCUGUCGAGGGGGAACAAGGGCGCGCGAAGAGCGCGCCUUGAGUGAACCCUGGAGGAAGCACGGGCUAAGUUCGUGCCAGCAGCCGCGGUAAGACGAACCGUGCGAACGUUAUUCGGAAUCACUGGGCUUAAAGCGCGCGUAGGCGGGCCGGCACGUCGGAUGCUGAAAGCCCCCGGCUCAACCGGGGAAGGGGCACCGAUACGACCGGCCUGGAGUGGGGUAGGGGGAGCCGGAACUUCCGGUGGAGCGGUGAAAUGCGUUGAGAUCGGAAGGAACGCCCGUGGCGAAAGCGGGCUCCUGGACCCCAACUGACGCUGAGGCGCGAAAGCCAGGGGAGCGAACGGG
RNAcentral lists this ribosomal RNA (440 nucleotides) under uncultured bacterium. RNAcentral's name for it is "bacterial SSU rRNA". It matches the Rfam family "Bacterial small subunit ribosomal RNA", at positions 338 to 776 of the family's 1533-position model. The record is from RNAcentral.